GAUUUUCAGGCGACCUACUCCUCCUCCCAAGGGCGCCUGAUCGAGCAGCGACACUCCUCCUCCCAGUCGCUGUUCAAAUCUUUUCGAAAAGCCUGCCGCACCUCCUCCCGCGGCAGGCUUUUUCG
RNAcentral lists this small RNA (125 nucleotides) under Aliirhizobium cellulosilyticum. RNAcentral describes it as "Rhizobium cellulosilyticum Alphaproteobacterial ar14". It matches the Rfam family "Alphaproteobacterial ar14". Rfam says of the family: Smr14C2 was renamed NfeR1 (Nodule Formation Efficiency RNA) highly expressed in salt stress and during the symbiotic interaction on legume roots. Lineage: Bacteria; Pseudomonadati; Pseudomonadota; Alphaproteobacteria; Hyphomicrobiales; Rhizobiaceae. The record is from Rfam by way of RNAcentral.